This 677-nucleotide ribosomal RNA is filed under the name uncultured actinomycete. RNAcentral's name for it is "bacterial SSU rRNA". It matches the Rfam family "Bacterial small subunit ribosomal RNA", at positions 229 to 904 of the family's 1533-position model. Lineage: Bacteria; Bacillati; Actinomycetota; Actinomycetes; Actinomycetales. The record is from RNAcentral.
AUUCGCGGCCUAUCAGCUUGUUGGUGGGGUAACGGCCUACCAAGGCUCUGACGGGUAGCCGGCCUGAGAGGGUGAUCGGCCACACCGGGACUGAGACACGGCCCGGACUCCUACGGGAGGCAGCAGUAGGGAAUCUUGCACAAUGGGCGAAAGCCUGAUGCAGCGAUGCCGCGUGAGGGAUGAAGGCCUUCGGGUCGUAAACCUCUUUCAGUAGGGAAGAAGCCUGGGGUAACCCAGGUGACGGUACCUGCAGAAGAAGCCCCGGCUAACUACGUGCCAGCAGCCGCGGUAAAACGUAGGGGGCAAGCGUUGCCCGGAUUCACUGGGCGUAAAGCGCGUGUAGGCGGUCCGUCAAGUCGGAUGUGAAAUCCUACGGCUUAACCGUGGAAUUGCAUCCGAUACUGGCGGACUUGAGGACGGUAGAGGCCGGUGGAAUUCCCGGUGUACCGGUGAAAUGGGCAGAUAUCGGGAGGAACACCAGUGGCGAAGGCGGCCGGCUGGGCCGAUCCUGACGCUGAGACGCGAAAGCCAGGGGAGCGAACCGGAUUAGAUACCCGGGUAGUCCUGGCCGUAAACGGUGCGGACUAGGUGUGGGGGGCGUCAUGCCUUCUGUGCCGAAGCUAACGCAUUAAGUCCCCCGCCUGGGGAGUACGGAAUCGUCGACCUGCAGGGCCCAC